CCUACGGGAGGCAGCAGUGGGGAAUAUUGGGCAAUGGGCGCAAGCCUGACCCAGCAACGCCGCGUGAAGGAAGAAGGCUUUCGGGUUGUAAACUUCUUUUCUCAGGGACGAAGCAAGUGACGGUACCUGAGGAAUAAGCCACGGCUAACUACGUGCCAGCAGCCGCGGUAAUACGUAGGUGGCAAGCGUUAUCCGGAUUUACUGGGUGUAAAGGGCGUGUAGGCGGGACUGCAAGUCAGAUGUGAAAACCACGGGCUCAACCUGUGGCCUGCAUUUGAUACUGUAGGUCUUGAGUACUGGAGAGGCAGGCGGAAUGCGUGGUGUAGCGGUGAAAUGCGUAGAUAGUAGGAAGAACACC
This 358-nucleotide ribosomal RNA is filed under the name uncultured bacterium. RNAcentral's name for it is "partial 16S ribosomal RNA". It matches the Rfam family "Bacterial small subunit ribosomal RNA", at positions 338 to 710 of the family's 1533-position model. The record is from RNAcentral.